AGGAGAGGAAGAAGGAGAUGAGGAGAAGAAGAAGGAAAGAGAAGGGAAGAAGAGACGAGGAGGAGAUUGAAAGGGAGCUAUUGUACCUGAGGCUACUCUUGGACAACGUUCUACCCAUCUAUGGCUGCUGUAGAUAUGGGUGCAUGCAAGUGCCUUGUGCUACUUACAACAAGAAGGAGCUGGUUGGGUCUUGAUUCAGCUGAGAUUUGGAGAGGAGGGCUGAUUCUAGCUGUAUGCAUGCACCAAGAGAACAUCAAAGGAAUCUUAUAACUACAUUUGUUGGGGAUACGCGAGGCUAGGAAAUUGGUGAAGGAUUUCAGAUAUGAGAUUUCAGGUAUUGAAGCUGAAGCAAAAUUGAGCAGGUGAUUCAUUGGAGAUGAAGAAAAUAUCAGGAAUCUUACAACUACAUUUGUUGAGGAUACGCGAGGCUAGGACAAUGGUGAAGGAUUUCAGAUAUGAGAUUUCAGGUAUUGAAGCUGAAGCUGAAACAGAAGUGAGCUGGCGAUUAAUCGGAGAUGAAGAAAAGAUCUGGGAGUGGUUAUAGACAAGGAUUUUGAUACUUUAUGUUUUAUAGUGUAAAUAAAAUGUAAGUGGUAUUAUAAAUUUGGUUAUAACUUGUGGAUGUAAUAAAUGAGCCUAUAAUAUUAUAAACUUAUCAUUGUAGCUGAUCACCAC
Molecule: RNA transcript, 675 nt
Organism: Macadamia integrifolia
Lineage: Eukaryota; Viridiplantae; Streptophyta; Magnoliopsida; Proteales; Proteaceae
Exons: 6
Source: RefSeq, a predicted model, not a curated record